Molecule: RNase P RNA, 299 nt
Filed under: Duncaniella sp.
Lineage: Bacteria; Pseudomonadati; Bacteroidota; Bacteroidia; Bacteroidales; Muribaculaceae
Description: partial RNase P RNA component class A
Rfam family: Bacterial RNase P class A
About the family: Ribonuclease P (RNase P) is a ubiquitous endoribonuclease, found in archaea, bacteria and eukarya as well as chloroplasts and mitochondria.
Source: RNAcentral
CAGCAGGACGGUCCAGUCGCUGGCCGACGUAUAGAGCGGCGAGAGGAAAGUCCGGGCAACACAGAGCACCAUACUUUCUAACGGAAAGCUGUCGGUGACGGCAGAGUAGCGUGACAGAAAACGACCGCCCGAGGGGCAUUGACCGCCUCGGGUAAGGGUGAAAAGGCGAGGUAAGAGCUCACCGGGUCCCGCAGCAAUGCGGGAUGCCGCACGUCUUAUGGGUUGCAAGGCCAAGUAUACCGGCAUCUAAGGGCUGCUCGUCCGUUGCCGGGGGGUAGGCGGCUGGAGCACGUUGGUGA